This 752-nucleotide ribosomal RNA is filed under the name uncultured rumen protozoa. Its description in RNAcentral is "bacterial SSU rRNA". The stretch from base 140 to 752 matches the Rfam family "Eukaryotic small subunit ribosomal RNA", at positions 1118 to 1775 of the family's 1831-position model. The record is from RNAcentral.
ACGUAGCGCGCAAUUAGGUAUGUUACCUUGGCACCUCCCAGGUUCUCAACAGAGAGAUGGGUCAACCCUCGGCGUGUUCCCUUUUAAUGCGGUGGGGUGGAAGGAAUCCCUCAUCCUUAGAGAAAUCAAGUCUUGGUUCGGGAAGUAUGUGCAGACUGAACUAAGAAUGACGAAGGCACCACAGAGUGAGCUGCGGCUAAUUGACUCACACGGGAAACUACAGGUCCAGACAUAGUAAGGAUGACAGAUGAUAGCUCUUCUGAUUCUAUGGGUGGUGGUGCAUGGCCGUUCUUAGUUGGUGGAGUGAUUUGUCUGGUUAAUUCCGAUAACGAACGAGACCUUAACCUGCUAACUAGUCUAUUACAUUUCAUGUAAUUUGACUUCUUAGAGGGACUAUGUAUAUCAAGUACAUGGAAGUUUGAGGCAAAUAACAAGGUCUGUGAUGCCCUUAUGGCGCCGGGGGCGGCGCGCGUGCUACACUGAUGCAUACAACAAGUGCCUAGCUAGACAUAGUAUGGCAAUCUGGAAUAUGCAUCGUGAAUGGGGAUAGAUCUUUGCAAUUAUAGAUCUUGAACGAGGAAUUCCUAGUAAGUGCAAGUCAUCAUCUUGCAUUGAUUAUGUCCCUGCCCUUUGUACACACCGCCCGUCGCUCCUACCGAUACCAAGUGAUCCGGUGAACCUUUGGACCUCGCAAGAGGAAAAUAACAAACCAAAUGAACUUUAAGUAAUCUAGCCUACCGCGAAUUAAUUGA